This 444-nucleotide ribosomal RNA is filed under the name uncultured bacterium. RNAcentral describes it as "bacterial SSU rRNA". It matches the Rfam family "Bacterial small subunit ribosomal RNA", at positions 227 to 695 of the family's 1533-position model. The record is from RNAcentral.
GGGCCUGCGGCGCAUUAGUUAGUUGGCGGGGUGAAGGCCCACCAAGACGAUGAUGCGUAGCCGGACUGAGAGGUUGAACGGCCACAUUGGGACUGAGAGACGGCCCAAACUCCUACGGGAGGCAGCAGUAGGGAAUUUUCGGCAAUGGGGGCAACCCUGACCGAGCAACGCCGCGUGAACGACGAAGUACUUCGGUAUGUAAAGUUCUUUUAUCAGGGAAGUGACGGUACCUGAUGAAUAAGCCCCGGCUAACUAUGUGCCAGCAGCCGCGGUAAUACAUAGGGGGCAAGCGUUAUCCGGAAUUAUUGGGCGUAAAGGGUGCGUAGGUGGCCGUUUAAGUCUUUGGUGUAAGUGCAAGGCUCAACCUUGUGAUGCUAAAGAAACUGGAUGGCUUGACUGUGAUAGGUAAGCGGAAUUCCUGGUGUAGCGGUGAAAUGCGUAGAU